This 409-nucleotide ribosomal RNA is filed under the name Fusobacteriota bacterium. RNAcentral's name for it is "Fusobacteria bacterium partial 16S ribosomal RNA". It matches the Rfam family "Bacterial small subunit ribosomal RNA", at positions 355 to 776 of the family's 1533-position model. Lineage: Bacteria; Fusobacteriati; Fusobacteriota. The record is from RNAcentral.
UGGGGAAUAUUGCACAAUGGAGGGAACUCUGAUGCAGCAACGCCGCGUGCGGGAUGACGGCCUUCGGGUUGUAAACCGCUUUCAGCCAUGACGAAGCUUUUGUGACGGUAGUGGUAGAAGAAGCACCGGCUAACUACGUGCCAGCAGCCGCGGUGAUACGUAGGGUGCGAGCGAUGUCCGGAAUUAUUGGGCGUAAAGAGCUUGUAGGCGGUUUGUCGCGUCGAUAGUGUAAACACGCAGCUUAACUGUGUGCCUGCUGUCGAUACGGGCUGACUAGAGGAGGGUAGGGGAGAAUGGAAUUCCCGGUGGGGCGGUGGAAUGCGCAGAUAUCGGGAGGAACACCAGUGGCGAAGGCGGUUCUCUGGACCUUUCCUGACGCUGAGAAGCGAAAGCGUGGGUAGCAAACAGG